CUUUGGGCUUGGAUAAAGAGGACACAGAGGGGGAAAAAUACUGGGGUCAGGUGUGCUUUCUUGUUUGUGACUCUUCUGAUGACGGGAGCUUUAGAUGCCUGGAAGAGGUCAAUCUCUCUUCACGAGGUCCAGCUGCCUUCUCGGUCUCUCUAAAUAAAUAAACAGCUGGAGAAAGGAUAGAAUCUUGAUUAACUCUGAAGGGCAAGAUCGAAGCAGAACAGGAUCUGACAAGACGAGCUGGUGCCGAGGACCAAGAUCUAUUAUUGAAACAUCCUUGGGAAAUCUCUUGGGAAUGUAGUAACCUUUGUUUCGUUACUGUUUUCCCCGUUGGUAAUCUUGCCAUCAUUCAUAACAGCAUCUUACCAUGUGUCAAUCCAAACGAUUCGAGGUCACCAGGGUCAUGGUAUAAGUUCCUUUUGAAUUAUUAUCCCUCCAGAGGCUUUCUGAGUGUGCCGGGUCACCCACCCAUCACUUCAAAGAAAGCACAACACCAGUCACACAAGUUUAAAGCCCACAUGGAGGGGGAAGGAUGACUUCAACUCAAAGGAAACAAACUUCUUGAAUUUUUCCCCCCAGCGUGUCUGCUUUACACAAUAAUAUGCGUUAUUUCUUGUUGUGCUGGAAUAAAUCGCUCCAAUAAAUCCA
Molecule: long non-coding RNA, 645 nt
Organism: Mastomys coucha (southern multimammate mouse)
Lineage: Eukaryota; Metazoa; Chordata; Mammalia; Rodentia; Muridae
Exons: 2
Source: RefSeq, a predicted model, not a curated record